GAUGAAGAACGUAGCGAAAUGCGAUACUUGGUGUGAAUUGCAGAAUCCCGUGAACCAUCGAGUCUUUGAACGCAAGUUGCGCCCGAAGCCAUUAGGCCGAGGGCACGCCUGCCUGGGCGUCACACGUCGUUGCCCCCCCAUCUACUCCUUCGGGAUUGCGGGGGGCGGAUGAUGGCCUCCCGUGCGCCUCGUCGCGCGGUUGGCAUAAAUGCCAAGUCCUCGGCGACACACGCCACGACAAUCGGUGGUUGCGAAACCUCGGUUGCCCGUCGUGUGCGGUCGUCGCGCAUCGAGGGCUCGAAAAAAUUGCCGGGCUCCGGCUCGGCUUUCAACGCGACCCCAGGUCAGGCGGGGUUACCCGCUGAAUUUAAGCAUAUCAAUAAGCCGAGGA
This 391-nucleotide unclassified non-coding RNA is filed under the name soil metagenome. Its description in RNAcentral is "partial contains 5.8S ribosomal RNA, internal transcribed spacer 2, and large subunit ribosomal RNA". The stretch from base 1 to 122 matches the Rfam family "5.8S ribosomal RNA", at positions 35 to 154 of the family's 154-position model. The record is from RNAcentral.